Molecule: ribosomal RNA, 1138 nt
Filed under: Enterococcus mundtii
Lineage: Bacteria; Bacillati; Bacillota; Bacilli; Lactobacillales; Enterococcaceae
Description: bacterial SSU rRNA
Rfam family: Bacterial small subunit ribosomal RNA
Source: RNAcentral
UGCAAGUCGACGCUUCUUUUCCCACCGGAGCUUGCUCCACCGGGAAAAGAGGAGUGGCGAACGGGUGAGUAACACGUGGGUAACCUGCCCAUCAGAAGGGGAUAACACUUGGAAACAGGUGCUAAUACCGUAUAACAAUCGAAACCGCAUGGUUUCGUUUUGAAAGGCGCUUUACGGUGCCGCUGAUGGAUGGACCCGCGGUGCAUUAGCUAGUUGGUGAGGUAACGGCUCACCAAGGCCACGAUGCAUAGCCGACCUGAGAGGGUGAUCGGCCACAUUGGGACUGAGACACGGCCCAAACUCCUACGGGAGGCAGCAGUAGGGAAUCUUCGGCAAUGGACGAAAGUCUGACCGAGCAACGCCGCGUGAGUGAAGAAGGUUUUCGGAUCGUAAAACUCUGUUGUUAGAGAAGAACAAGGGUGAGAGUAACUGUUCACCCCUUGACGGUAUCUAACCAGAAAGCCACGGCUAACUACGUGCCAGCAGCCGCGGUAAUACGUAGGUGGCAAGCGUUGUCCGGAUUUAUUGGGCGUAAAGCGAGCGCAGGCGGUUUCUUAAGUCUGAUGUGAAAGCCCCCGGCUCAACCGGGGAGGGUCAUUGGAAACUGGGAGACUUGAGUGCAGAAGAGGAGAGUGGAAUUCCAUGUGUAGCGGUGAAAUGCGUAGAUAUAUGGAGGAACACCAGUGGCGAAGGCGGCUCUCUGGUCUGUAACUGACGCUGAGGCUCGAAAGCGUGGGGAGCAAACAGGAUUAGAUACCCUGGUAGUCCACGCCGUAAACGAUGAGUGCUAAGUGUUGGAGGGUUUCCGCCCUUCAGUGCUGCAGCUAACGCAUUAAGCACUCCGCCUGGGGAGUACGACCGCAAGGUUGAAACUCAAAGGAAUUGACGGGGGCCCGCACAAGCGGUGGAGCAUGUGGUUUAAUUCGAAGCAACGCGAAGAACCUUACCAGGUCUUGACAUCCUUUGACCACUCUAGAGAUAGAGCUUCCCCUUCGGGGGCAAAGUGACAGGUGGUGCAUGGUUGUCGUCAGCUCGUGUCGUGAGAUGUUGGGUUAAGUCCCGCAACGAGCGCAACCCUUAUUGUUAGUUGCCAUCAUUUAGUUGGGCACUCUAGCAAGACUGCCGGUGACAAACCGGA